This 325-nucleotide ribosomal RNA is filed under the name Pseudomyrmex aff. flavicornis-c MAS-2013. RNAcentral's name for it is "eukaryotic LSU rRNA". The record is from RNAcentral. Lineage: Eukaryota; Metazoa; Arthropoda; Insecta; Hymenoptera; Formicidae.
GACCGAUACCGUGAAGAAAAGUUGAAAAGUACUUUGAAGAGUUAACGAGUACGUGAAACCGUUCAGAGGUAAACCUAAGAAACCCAAAAAAUCGAACGGGGAGAUUCAUCGUCAACGAAACUGGCUUCGCGUCGGUGGGCGAUAACCCCGCGGUGUGUCCUAAGCGGCACGCGCGUGCGGGCACGCUACCGAACGCCGAUGUCCGGUUUUCGUCGUCGUGCACUUCUCCCCUAGUAGAACGUCGCGACUCGCUGUGUGUCGGUCACCGANCCGGGUGCGGUUACUGUCACGUCGCCCGUAAAAACGGCGCGCGGCAAACACCCCC